GACGAACCGUCCAAACGUUAUUCGGAAUUACUGGGCUUAAAGGGUGCGUAGGCGGCUCUGCAAGUUGGGUGUGAAAUCCCACGGCUCAACCGUGGAAUUGCGCUCAAAACUGCAGGGCUUGAGGGAGACAGAGGUGAGCGGAACUUAUGGUGGAGCGGUGAAAUGCGUUGAUAUCAUAAGGAACACCGGUGGCGAAAGCGGCUCACUGGGUCUCUUCUGACGCUGAGGCACGAAAGCUAGGGUAGCGAACGGG
Molecule: ribosomal RNA, 253 nt
Filed under: uncultured bacterium
Lineage: Bacteria
Description: partial 16S ribosomal RNA
Rfam family: Bacterial small subunit ribosomal RNA
Source: RNAcentral